GCACUCGUAGCUCAACUGGAAAGAGCAGGUUCCCGCUAAGUCCCCGAUGCUGGUUCGAGUCCAGCCGAGUGCG
This 73-nucleotide transfer RNA is filed under the name Asticcacaulis excentricus. Its description in RNAcentral is "tRNA-Ser". It matches the Rfam family "tRNA". Rfam says of the family: Transfer RNA (tRNA) molecules are approximately 80 nucleotides in length. The record is from RNAcentral. Lineage: Bacteria; Pseudomonadati; Pseudomonadota; Alphaproteobacteria; Caulobacterales; Caulobacteraceae.